AGACACCUAUAAGAGGUACAGCCUGCCCAGUGACUCUGUUUAACGGCCGCGGUAUCCUAACCGUGCGAAGGUAGCGUAAUCACUUGUUCUUUAAAUGAGGACUAGUAUGAAUGGCACCACGAGGGUUAUACUGUCUCCUUUCUCCAAUCAGUGAAACUAAUCUCUCCGUGAAGAAGCGGAGAUAAACAUAUAAGACGAGAAGACCCUAUGGAGCUUUAAACUAAAUUACAUUUGCUUUAUAAAUAAAAAUUUAAGAAAAAUAAACUGUACCAAGCAUCUGGUAAUAAGUUUUAGGUUGGGGUGACCGCGGAGUAAAAUUUACCCUCCGCAUUGAACAAGAUUGUUUCUUUAGCUAAAAGCUACAACUUUAAGCAUCAAUAAAUUGACAUUAUUGACCCAAUAUUUUGAUCAACGAACCAAGUUACCCUAGGGAUAACAGCGCAAUCCACUUCAAGAGCCCUUAUCGACAAGUGGGUUUACGACCUCGAUGUUGGAUCAGGGUAUCCCAGUGGUGCAGCCGCUACUAAAGGUUCGUUUGUUCAACGAUU
This is a ribosomal RNA of 548 nucleotides. It matches the Rfam family "Bacterial large subunit ribosomal RNA", at positions 1837 to 2589 of the family's 2925-position model.